UGAACUCCAGCGUCAAGUCGCGCCGCGUCAACCAAUCAGGAGCCUGGUGACGUGGCUGUAACCAGGUCAAAGGGGCAGAUCAAACCAAAGCCCUUCAUUCUUCAUUCAGUAUGGAGGAAAAACUCAUCAACGCAGUGGCUAAUCGUCCAGAACUAUACGAUGCUAGCUGCUACUUCUACCGGGACAGGAAUAAAAAGGACCGAGCUUGGAGGCACAGAAGUGAGGAGAUCGGGCAACCUGAACCAACUGAUUCUGCUGCAGAGCAUCCCGUUGCUUCUCCUGGCUCCCCAGUCCCUGAGCUCCUGCUGCUGCACCCACAGGUAUGUACAGCAAGCACUGAUAGCUCUUUACUCGGUGUGGGAUUGCCUUGUGAUCACCUUUACUAAAUAUCUACAACUAAUCUGAUUAUAUCCUGUUUUGUUUUUUCAAUGUUGAAAUUAAAAUCUAGUAGCAGCCUUCUCA
Oreochromis niloticus (Nile tilapia) is the source of this 462-nucleotide long non-coding RNA. RefSeq lists it as uncharacterized. The record is from RefSeq and is a predicted model, not a curated record. Lineage: Eukaryota; Metazoa; Chordata; Actinopteri; Cichliformes; Cichlidae. The transcript has 2 exons.